UACGAAGGGGGCUAGCGUUGCUCGGAAUGACUGGGCGUAAAGGGCGCGUAGGCGGCAUGGACAGUCAGGUGUGAAAUUCCCGGGCUUAACCUGGGGACUGCAUUUGAUACGUUCAGGCUAGAGUGUGGAAGAGGGUCGUGGAAUUCCCAGUGUAGAGGUGAAAUUCGUAGAUAUUGGGAAGAACACCGGUGGCGAAGGCGGCGACCUGGUCCAUUACUGACGCUGAGGCGCGAAAGCGUGGGGAGCAAACAGG
Molecule: ribosomal RNA, 253 nt
Filed under: uncultured bacterium
Lineage: Bacteria
Description: partial 16S ribosomal RNA
Rfam family: Bacterial small subunit ribosomal RNA
Source: RNAcentral